This 115-nucleotide ribosomal RNA is filed under the name uncultured bacterium. RNAcentral describes it as "partial 16S ribosomal RNA". The record is from RNAcentral.
GGGCUAUUAACCAUCAGCUUUUCUUCCCAAUUGAAAGUGCUUUACAACCCUAAGGCCUUCUUCACACACGCGGCAUGGCUGCGUCAGGCUUUCGCCCAUUGCGCAAUAUUCCCCA